UUAAAGUUUUUGGAGCAGAUGUCAUUUCCAUGUAACUAUAAGCCCUAUAUUGACUAAACUUGCAUGGAUGAUACAUCUAAGGAUGCACACUACUGGACUUACUUCGGAUGCUGGAUCUGACCUAUAUUUUCUGGAUGAGUGAUCAGGUUAAAGUUUUUGAAGCAGAUGUCAUAUCCAAGUAACUAUAAACCCUAUAUUGACCAAACUUGCAUGGAUUAUACAUCUUAGGAUUCACACUACUGGACUUGCUUCAGAUGCUGGAUCUGAACUAUAUUUUCCGGAUGAGUGACCAGAUUAAAGUUUUUGGAGCAGAUCUCAUUUCCAAGUAACUAUAAGGCCUAUCUGAACCAAACUUGCAUGGAUGAUGCAUCAAGGGACGAACAAUCUCAAAACUUGCUUCGCAUGCUGGAUUUGACUUACAUUUUCUGAACGAGUGUCUAGUUUUAAGUUUUCAGAUAAGUCCAUUCCCAAGUAACUGCAAGCCCUAUCAGACCAAAAUUGCAUAAAUGUUGCAUCUAGGGAUGCACACUCCUAGAUUAUUAGUUUAGUGUGGGACUUUGCCUUACUUAAAGACAACAUUUGUUGAGGUGAGCUCUGUAAUCUCUGAUUACCUAUGCUUGAAGAUACUACUUCCCCUUUCAAUGAAUUUUUUCAUCAGAAAGACAUCAUUUUGACCCCUUUCAAUUUUAAAGUUGUUAAUUAACUUAUCUAAACUAUUCCAACAUUUGUUCAAUCAGUAUUCUUUAGGAAUUUGUAAUCAUCAGACUGUGCAUAGAGGUUUGUCUUUAUAAACAGACUUGUGACUAUGUUAGGGCAAAUUACAUGUCCCUGGUCUUUCUGCCAAAUUUCACAAAAAUUGUCAUGAAUCAACAUUUUAGAAAUCCUUUAUUUGAUCAUCUCCAAAAUUCAUAGCGUAAGACAAGAUAUUACAUAAGAAUCAUAAACAUUUAUUAUUUCAAGCAUGGGGUAGUGUAAAGUUGGGGGGGUGCACAUCUAACAUUUCUUACUAGUAUUUUGUCAGGUUAUGAGUCAAAAUCUAGUCCAACAGCAGCUGAUGGAUGGAUGUUUCACUAUUAAGUGCCCAACCUGUAAAAUAAUGAGAUUUACUACUUUAUUUUGUGAUGUAGAGCAGAAUACUGGCCCACCAGAGGUAGCAGGACAUGGAGCCACUUGCUGUUCCAUUUUAGCAGAAGGAGGCAUUAGAUUACCUGUACCCAACAGAAAUCGAAGAAGAGUUUCCCCAAUCAACUAAAGCCAACUUUGCAAGAUGUGUUGACAGGGAGUACAUAGUGCAGCAGCCAGGACCAUCGAGAGCUAUAGGUCAAGGAGGAUAUGGACAUGGAACCACUCAGCAGCCAGGGAGUCUGAAAAAGAGAUAAAAAAGACACCAGAAGAGGGAAGGACAGAAUAGUCAGCCAAUCAGACGAUGACAGAUAUCGAUUAAGCUAAUAGGCCACCAUUGGCCAAAGUGG
Long non-coding RNA from Saccostrea echinata, 1472 nucleotides. RefSeq lists it as uncharacterized. NCBI's taxonomy places the organism in Eukaryota, Metazoa, Mollusca, Bivalvia, Ostreida, Ostreidae. The record is from RefSeq and is a predicted model, not a curated record. The transcript has 4 exons.